CACGUAGGGGGCAAGCGUUGUCCGGAAUUACUGGGCGUAAAGGGCUCGUAGGCGGCCAACUAAGUCGGACGUGAAAUCCCUCAGCUUAACUGGGGAACUGCGUCUGAUACUGGAUGGCUUGGAUUUGGGAGAGGGAUGCGGAAUUCCAGGUGUAGCGGUGAAAUGCGUAGAUAUCUGGAGGAACACCGGUGGCGAAGGCGGCAUCCUGGACCAACAUUGACGCUGAGGAGCGAAAGCCAGGGGAGCAAACGGG
This 253-nucleotide ribosomal RNA is filed under the name uncultured bacterium. Its description in RNAcentral is "partial 16S ribosomal RNA". It matches the Rfam family "Bacterial small subunit ribosomal RNA", at positions 524 to 776 of the family's 1533-position model. The record is from RNAcentral.